RNAcentral lists this ribosomal RNA (291 nucleotides) under uncultured Spiroplasma sp. RNAcentral's name for it is "partial 16S ribosomal RNA". It matches the Rfam family "Bacterial small subunit ribosomal RNA", at positions 505 to 796 of the family's 1533-position model. The record is from RNAcentral. Lineage: Bacteria; Bacillati; Mycoplasmatota; Mollicutes; Entomoplasmatales; Spiroplasmataceae.
GUGCCAGCCGCCGCGGUAAUACGAAGGGGGCUAGCGUUAUCCGGAUUUAUUGGGCGUAAAGCGUGCGUAGACGGUUUUGCAAGUCUGAGGUUAAAUUUAGGGGCUCAACCCCUAACCGCCUUGGAAACUACAUUACUAGAGUAUAGGAGAGGUUAGUGGAAUUUCAUGUGUAGCGGUGGAAUGCGUAGAUAUAUGAAGGAACACCAGUGGCGAAGGCGGCUAACUGGCCUAUUACUGACGUUGUGGCACGAAAGCGUGGGGAGCAAAUAGGAUUAGAAACCCGAGUAGUCC